RNAcentral lists this non-coding RNA (120 nucleotides) under uncultured Succiniclasticum sp. Its description in RNAcentral is "Glycine riboswitch". It matches the Rfam family "Glycine riboswitch aptamer", at positions 9 to 86 of the family's 94-position model. From Rfam's summary of the family: This family represents the bacterial glycine riboswitch. Glycine riboswitches usually consist of two metabolite-binding aptamers domains with similar structures in tandem. Lineage: Bacteria; Bacillati; Bacillota; Negativicutes; Acidaminococcales; Acidaminococcaceae. The record is from RNAcentral.
ACACGACUCUGGAGAGUCCCGACGGAAAAUGCGGCAUAUUUGCAGUUUUCCAAGGGCGCCGAAGGUGCACGGAAGCCGAUAGAUACGCUUCCUUAUCUCUCAGGCAAAAGGACAGAGAAA